Molecule: ribosomal RNA, 822 nt
Filed under: Protoparmeliopsis muralis
Lineage: Eukaryota; Fungi; Ascomycota; Lecanoromycetes; Lecanorales; Lecanoraceae
Description: SSU rRNA
Rfam family: Bacterial small subunit ribosomal RNA
Source: RNAcentral
AAUAGCCUAACGGCUGAACCAGCAACUUGGAGGAAUGUAUAGCAAUAGCUAAUUGCAUCAAUGUUUAGAUAAUUGAUGCAAUAUCGACUCUGUCGAAUAAAAUUCUAGGUAGAAUUAUGAUAAUGACAUUGUCUACCUAUGUGUCUUGACCAAAUUACGUGCCAGCAGUCGCGGUAAUACGUAGAAGACUAGUGUUAUUCAUCUUUAAUAGGUUUAAAGGGUACCUAGACGGUAAAUCAAGCCUGCAAUACGGGACUAAUGUACUAGAGUUACUUACGAGGGGGUAUUAAAGUACUGCUGGUGUAGAGAUGAAAUUCUGUCAUACCUCGUUUCGGAAGAAACACUACGGCACAGGUAUAGGCGAAAGCAUCCCCUUAUGUGAUAACUGACGUUGAAGGACGAAGGCUUUGUGUAGCGAACAGGAUUAGAUACCCCAGUAGUCAAAGCAGAAAAUGAUGAAUGUCAUAGAUUAGAUGUAUAGUUUAUUCUAUAAAUGAAAGUGUAAGCAUUCCACCUCAAGAGUAAUUUGGCAACAUUGGAACUGAAAUCAUUAGACCGUUUCUGAAACCAGUAGUGAAGUAUGUUGUUUAAUUUGAUGAUCCGCAAAAAACCUUACCACAAUUUGAAUAUUUAGAUUUAUAUUUUCUUUUGAAGAAAUAAUAAAUCCAUUUACAAGCGUUGCACGGCUGUCUUCAGUUAAUGUCGUGAGAUCAUGGUUAGUUCCAUUAAUUAACGUAAACCCUUACUUUAUUUUUAUAUAGAGUUGUUCCCCGCUAGAUUGGAUAAGAUAACAGGGACUAAGACAAGUCAUCAUGGCCUAAA